UACGAAGGGUGCGAGCGUUAUUCGGAAUUAUUGGGCGUAAAGGGUGUGUAGACGGUGUAUUAAGUCUGUUGUUAAAUGCUCUAGCCUAACUGGAGACUUGCGGUGGAAACUGAUACGCUAGAGGGUGGGAAAGAGAAGUGGAAUUCUCGGAGUAGCGGUAAAAUGCGUAGAUCUCGAGAGGAACACCAAUGGCGAAGGCAGCUUCUUGGUCCAUACCUGACGUUGAAACACGAAAGCGUGGGGAGCAAACAGG
This 253-nucleotide ribosomal RNA is filed under the name uncultured bacterium. RNAcentral's name for it is "partial 16S ribosomal RNA". It matches the Rfam family "Bacterial small subunit ribosomal RNA", at positions 524 to 776 of the family's 1533-position model. The record is from RNAcentral.